Molecule: ribosomal RNA, 430 nt
Filed under: Fusobacteriota bacterium
Lineage: Bacteria; Fusobacteriati; Fusobacteriota
Description: Fusobacteria bacterium partial 16S ribosomal RNA
Rfam family: Bacterial small subunit ribosomal RNA
Source: RNAcentral
UAGGGAAUCUUCGGCAAUGGACGAAAGUCUGACCGAGCAACGCCGCGUGAGUGAAGAAGGUUUUCGGAUCGUAAAACUCUGUUGUUAGAGAAGAAAAAGGAUGAGAGUAGAAUGUUCAUCCCUUGACGGUAUCUAACCAGAAAGCCACGGCUAACUACGUGCCAGCAGCCGCGGUAAUACGUAGGUGGCAAGCGUUGUCCGGAUUUAUUGGGCGUAAAGCGAGCGCAGGCGGUUUCUUAAGUCUGAUGUGAAAGCCCCCGGCUCAACCGGGGAGGGUCAUUGGAAACUGGGAAACUUGAGUGCAGAAGAGGAGAGUGGAAUUCCAUGUGUAGCGGUGAAAUGCGUAGAUAUAUGGAGGAACACCAGUGGCGAAGGCGGCUCUCUGGUCUGUAACUGACGCUGAGGCUCGAAAGCGUGGGGAGCAAACAGG